This 484-nucleotide ribosomal RNA is filed under the name uncultured bacterium. RNAcentral's name for it is "partial 16S ribosomal RNA". It matches the Rfam family "Bacterial small subunit ribosomal RNA", at positions 30 to 507 of the family's 1533-position model. The record is from RNAcentral.
AUUGAACGCUGGCGGCAGGCCUAACACAUGCAAGUCGAGCGGAAGAAGGGAGCUUGCUCCUGGAUUCAGCGGCGGACGGGUGAGUAAUGCCGAGGAAUCUACCUGGUAGUGGGGGAUAACGUCCGUAAACGGGCGCUAGUACCGCAUACGUCGUGAGGUAGAAAGUGGGGGAUCUUCGGACCUCACGCUAUCAGAUGAGCCUAGGUCGGAUUAGCUAGUUGGUGGGGUAAAGGCCUACCAAGGCGACGAUCCGUAACUGGUCUGAGAGGAUGAUCAGUCACACUGGAACUGAGACAAGGUACAGACCACUAUGGGAGGCAGCACUGGGGAAUAUUGGACUAUGGGAUAAACCCUGAUCCAGCCAUGCCGCGUGUCUGAAGAAGGUCUUCGGCUUGUAAAGCUCUUUAAGUUGGGAGGAAGGGCAGUAAGUUAAUCCCUUGCUGUUUUGACGUUACCAAAAGAAUAAGCACCGGCUAACUUCGUG